RNAcentral lists this transfer RNA (71 nucleotides) under Candidatus Zambryskibacteria bacterium RIFOXYD2_FULL_43_10. Its description in RNAcentral is "tRNA-Lys". It matches the Rfam family "tRNA". Rfam says of the family: Transfer RNA (tRNA) molecules are approximately 80 nucleotides in length. Their secondary structure includes four short double-helical elements and three loops (D, anti-codon, and T loops). The record is from RNAcentral. Lineage: Bacteria; Candidatus Zambryskiibacteriota.
CCCCCCGUAGUUCAAUGGUAGAACAUCCGCCUUUUAAGCGGUCAACGGAGGUCCGAUUCCUCCCGGGGGGA